Molecule: long non-coding RNA, 761 nt
Organism: Chinchilla lanigera (long-tailed chinchilla)
Lineage: Eukaryota; Metazoa; Chordata; Mammalia; Rodentia; Chinchillidae
Exons: 2
Source: RefSeq, a predicted model, not a curated record
CGGGGCUUUGUGGGGGCUGGCGCCUCCCUUCGCCGCCGAGUGGCGCGACCGGGUCCGAGCUCCCGGCGGUGGCCGGCCUGCGGGGAGGGGCGGCCCCUACGUGGCUCUGGCUCGCUUUUAAGUAAACAGCCACACAAACAAGCUUUUGUUUUCAGGCUAAAAGGCUUCCUUCUUUCUUUUCCUCCUGGGUUCUGGUAGCCACCCGGUGCUGAGCUCGGGCCUAAUGACUGCUCUGGGCUAGAACCCGUGCAGAAGACAGUAGAGUGGGUGGGCCUGGGCCUGGCCGCCCUUCCGAGGCCAGUUCUCACCGCUGUGGCCCCCACAGGAGACGAAGGAAGGGGCUGAGGCGGCUAGUUCUGCAUCACUUACUGUGGUCCUGAUCUUCAAAUCGGAGAACUGCCUGCGGCAGAAUACAAGAGGGCCCAUCCAGCGCCCACCGAGCAGACAAAAGACCCAAAGCCGGAAGGAGGGGGAGCUUGCAGGGUACUUUGACAGCCCUGUGGAGACUGGCUGCUUCAGAAACCACACCGCCCAGAAGAAGCUUUCCCAACUGGCUGACCUGCUGCGCAACCCCCGCCUGCCCUCGCCCUCCACAGUGCACUCUUCUGCAAGGCGGUGAUGAAAUUCACUUCUUCAGUUCAUCUUCAACAAUUCAUUGGGUUAACACAGAUUCAUUGUAUGACAGGUAACAUAUUCCCAUCCAUGGAGAGAAAUUAUCUUUCGAACAAAAGAAAGGAAAUAAAUCUGUUCCCAAUUGUCAA